GGGAUUCCUUGGGCUCUGCUGCGGCCCCGGGACCCCGCCAGCCGCGUCCGCAGUGACAGCUUGGUUUCCUCCGGAGCCGCGGGACAGAAAGCAGGUCAUCCCAAUGCCUAAGGCCCAGUGGCUACAGGGGAUCCUCUAAUGACUCCUGGACCCAUGUAAGGUCUGGCUGUGCAGAUCCCGGGCUGUGGCAGGAGUUCGCAUCAUGUCCCCGAGGCCACGUCUGUCACCCUGCAGCCCCCGCUGCUGCGUCUCAAGGCCCGCUGUCUCAGCCGCGUUCAUGCCAGGAGGGAUGAUGUGGGUCCUGUCUGCGCAGGGGACCUGGGAAACAUCGCAGACUCACCACUAACAGAAACAAAAAUUCCCUAUCUCAUUUACUCUUCACUCAGACCCCUUGUAAGGACCUCUCCAUCCCCAUUUUGUAUGUGAGGACAUUGAGAUUUAGAGAGAUUACGUAGCUUGAAAGUGAUUACAACCAUUAAAAGAUGUCUCAGGGCGCAAUCAUGGUGCCUCC
Long non-coding RNA from Manis pentadactyla (Chinese pangolin), 511 nucleotides. RefSeq lists it as uncharacterized. The record is from RefSeq and is a predicted model, not a curated record. Lineage: Eukaryota; Metazoa; Chordata; Mammalia; Pholidota; Manidae. The transcript is spliced from 3 exons.